AUGAACGCUGGCGGCGUGCCUAAUACAUGCAAGUCGAGCGAACAGAUGAGGAGCUUGCUCCUCUGACGUUAGCGGCGGACGGGUGAGUAACACGUGGAUAACCUACCUAUAAGACUGGGAUAACUUCGGGAAACCGGAGCUAAUACCGGAUAAUAUAUUGAACCGCAUGGUUCAAUAGUGAAAGACGGUUUUGCUGUCACUUAUAGAUGGAUCCGCGCCGCAUUAGCUAGUUGGUAAGGUAACGGCUUACCAAGGCAACGAUGCGUAGCCGACCUGAGAGGGUGAUCGGCCACACUGGAACUGAGACACGGUCCAGACUCCUACGGGAGGCAGCAGUAGGGAAUCUUCCGCAAUGGGCGAAAGCCUGACGGAGCAACGCCGCGUGAGUGAUGAAGGUCUUCAGAUCGUAAAACUCUGUUAUUAGGGAAGAACAAAUGUGUAAGUAACUAUGCACGUCUUGACGGUACCUAAUCAGAAAGCCACGGCUAACUACGUG
This 496-nucleotide ribosomal RNA is filed under the name uncultured bacterium. RNAcentral describes it as "partial 16S ribosomal RNA". It matches the Rfam family "Bacterial small subunit ribosomal RNA", at positions 29 to 507 of the family's 1533-position model. The record is from RNAcentral.